ACGUAGGGGGCAAGCGUUGUCCGGAUUUAUUGGGCGUAAAGAGCUCGUAGGCGGUUCCGUAAGUUGAGAGUCAAAUCUCUGGGCUCAACCCAGAGCCGCUCUCAAUACUGCGGUGACUCGAGUCCGGUAGAGGAGUGUGGAAUUCCCGGUGUAGCAGUGAAAUGCGUAGAGAUCGGGAGGAACACCAGUGGCGAAGGCGGCCUUCUGGACCAGUACUGACGCUCAUGCACGAAAGCGUGGGGAGCAAACAGGA
This 253-nucleotide ribosomal RNA is filed under the name uncultured prokaryote. RNAcentral describes it as "partial 16S ribosomal RNA". It matches the Rfam family "Bacterial small subunit ribosomal RNA", at positions 525 to 777 of the family's 1533-position model. The record is from RNAcentral.